UAGUAAUCGCAGAUCAGAAUGCUGCGGUGAAUGCGUUCCCGGGUCUUGUACACACCGCCCGUCACACCACGGAAGUUGGGGGCGCCCGAAGCCACUUAGCUAACCCUUUUGGGAAGCGAGUGUCGAAGGUGAAAUCAAUAACUGGGGUGAAGUCGUAACAAGGUAAC
RNAcentral lists this ribosomal RNA (167 nucleotides) under uncultured bacterium. RNAcentral's name for it is "partial 16S ribosomal RNA". It matches the Rfam family "Bacterial small subunit ribosomal RNA", at positions 1336 to 1500 of the family's 1533-position model. The record is from RNAcentral.